CAGGGAAUCUUGCGCAAUGGGCGAAAGCCUGACGCAGCGACACCGCGUGGGGGAUGAAGGCUUUCGAGUUGUAAACCCCUUUUCCCGGGGAUGAGAAAGGACAGUACCCGGGGAAUAAGGUUCGGCUAACUACGUGCCAGCAGCCGCGGUAAUACGUAGGAACCGAGCGUUGUCCGGAUUUACUGGGCGUAAAGUGCGCGUAGGCGGUUCGUUAAGUCUCAUGUGAAAUCUCCCGGCUCAACCGGGAGGGGUCAUGGGAAACUGGCGGACUGGAGUGCAGCAGAGGGGAGUGGAAUUCCCGGAGUAGUGGUGGAAUGCGUAGAUACCGGGAGGAACACCAGAGGCGAAGGCGACUCCCUGGGCUGUGACUGACGCUGAGGCGCGAAAGCGUGGGUAGCAAACCGG
RNAcentral lists this ribosomal RNA (405 nucleotides) under uncultured Chloroflexota bacterium. Its description in RNAcentral is "bacterial SSU rRNA". It matches the Rfam family "Bacterial small subunit ribosomal RNA", at positions 355 to 776 of the family's 1533-position model. The record is from RNAcentral. Lineage: Bacteria; Bacillati; Chloroflexota. RNAcentral also lists the same sequence under 1 other name.